UACUCUUUUAGACAAUCCACACACCAAUUCACGACAGUCUUCAUUCAUAUCUACUUCCAACAUAUGAACGACUGUGGCCCGUUUGAAUAAUUCGAUUAUUCUUAAUAAACUCAAUUAUUCUGGAAGUCAAAACAUGCAAAUGUGAAACACAAGAAUAAUACUAAUCCCAUAUGGCCUCAAACCUUUGAGUAUAAAUAAAACACCUUUUAUUUAUCACCAUAUUGAUUACUCAUUAUUUGUCGUUUCGGGUAAUCAACUUCUUACUUGAAUUACAACACUUGUCCCAUGCUCCUAGCAUGCACACAAUGUUUACCUAUGGUUCUUACUUUGUGAAAUAGAUCACAUUGAACACAUUUCCAAUCAUUCUCAUUUCACAACUCCAAAUCCUUUUUCAUAAGUGAGAGAAUAUCAAAUUCUUGCUACUUAUAGAAUAUGCUAGAUUCUAACAUUCUAUGCAACUAUCCUUUCGUAAUGUCACUGCACCAAAGUCACAAAGACUAUUGCCAAUGAUAUUACAAAGUCCUCUAUCGGAGAUUGUUACAAGACAAUUCCAUAGAUGUGAUGUCUCUCACUCAAAGUACAUUCUUUGAACAUCCUUUUGCAUAGAAGUUUCUAAUCUAGUCAUAGAUUUCUCAAUAUUCAAUUCCCAAUAUGGACACACUUCCAUAUGUUCCAUAUGACAACUCAUUCUUAAUAGAAUCUUAUCUAUUCGUAAUGAUGUCGAUAUGGUCCAUCCAAUAUGGAAACAUUUCCAUAUUUUCCAAUACUAUACUUCCAACUACUCACAAGCGACCAAUCCUCGUCGAACUUUGGAUUGUCCUUUGAUAGUUGUUUAAUUAUUUUAGUCAAAACCAAUUCUAGUCCCUUUUCCCUCUAAAUGCGCUCGACAUUUGGAAAAUUUUAGAAUGGUCAAACAUUAAAGCAUUUGCAAUCGAUCCUAUACCCGAAGCGUAUGGGACACGACGCAUAAUGUUUUAUUUGCUAUGUUCUCAAAAUUCGAAUUGUGAAGAGGGAUGCCGUAAUCAUAAUCGAAAUUUUAAGAACACACUUUGUACCUUUGACUAAAUUUUAUUAACAUUUCUCAACCUAAACCUUUAGAUUUGAAAUGAAGCAUAAUAUUCUCUCCCUUAAUUAUAGCAAAACAACUCUUCAACUAUUGCGACUUUGCAAAGUAUGACUCUUGUUUUCUAUAAUUAAUAUUGCUAACCUUGCAAUACUUUCCUUAAUAAUCAUACAAUCAUAACUUUUAUGCUCCCACUAUCUUGAUGAUUAUUAUAAAACAUAACACUUAUGCUCCCACUAGCUUCGACAUGUAUUCAUAAACAUCUUAACUUUCAGAAAAAAAAUGCUUAUUGAAUUUCUUAAGUUCAUGUUUCUAAUACUUAGUGCUUUGAUAAUCUUUUAUCAAGGUUUCUUGAACUUAUACACAUUUGCCUUCGAUAGUUCAUAUGUGUGUCUAAACAAUUAAGACUAAUUGCCAAACCUCACAAUUCAAAUUAUGGAAAGGGAUGCCGUAACCAUAAUUGAAUUCGAGAAUGCAAUUUUACAAUCACUAUCUUCUUAAAAUCUUUCUUAGUGAAAGCAUUUCCUCACAAUCAUUUUCAUGAAGGAGGAAAUCUUAUGACACUUAGAUUUAAACGGUGUAUUUGUUCCUAUCCAUGUGAAUUUGUCAAAACCAAAGUUUACGACAAAUUCAAACUCUUAUGGAUCGAACUUUCUUGAUCUCGAUUUCUUGCCUUUAUGGUAGCACAGCUGCCCACCAUGUCUUCCAAGUAGUUAAGCAGCUCACCCUUUCCUAUCAAUGUACCUUUCAUUGAUUAAGGUGCUUUGCCUUUUAUGCGUUCAAAAUGAGAACUCAUAGAACUCACAUGCAUAAUUAACUCGAUUGGAUUGGCACAGAAUCAAAAUAAUGUCAACACGAUAGGUUGUAAACCUCAACUCGUGUGCUAGUGAUGAUCGAUAAGGUUUAUUUGAUUUGUUCUUGAAACCUUUCAAGACCAUUAAGACUCCCACUGACUCCUUGACAUAUAAGAUUCUCUUGUCAAAAAACAUUUCUUGACAAACAAAUAUUCAAGAGUUAGUGUAGCUUUUAUCAAAACACUUCAUAAAUUGGUCCUAGUUGGUCUUUGUCUUAUCCAAGACAUCACAACUUUCCACAUUUAAUGAAUGUUAUAAACCUUCUUAAUACUUAUCACUCAAUGUCACAAUCUUAACUCUAAGACUUGUUUUGGAACGAAGUAUGAUUGACUUCUUGAUUUAACCAUUUCUUCAAUUCUUGAUUCCUCUUCUUAGACAUACAAUUGUACUAAGACUCACUUAGAGGAUCAAUUGAGAUAUGGUUCUUAAUCAUUAAGACCUAUCAUAAAGCAUAAAAGGUACUCUCCCUUCUUCUUAGAAUGGAGAAACUUUUAUCUUUCUGCCUACUUGAUUCUUCUUAUUCGUUCUGCUAUUGAUUUAAACUUUUUCAAUCAAUUCAGAAUUACACUUAAUCUUAUAAGUAUAAUCAUAUUUACUAAACCUUUAGUAAAUCAUGACGAAUAUCUUUGUUACUCUUAUGGUGGACUUGAUCAACACGCAACUUUGUGUACUCGAUCUCCUAGUCCUUCACUUGACACUUUGUCAAUGAAUUAGUCUAAUUUCCAAAUAUGAAAUUUCUCAUUCAUCGUGCAACCAAGUUGCAUGAUUCCAAGUUUCUGUCCAAUUGAAACUUGGGCGAUGAGAAACUCUCCCUAUUUGGUAAAUUCUCGACUUUCCAUAAAUAACAUAAUAAGAACCAAAUCCAUUAUUGCUAAUAAUAGAAACAUUUUAACAUCAAUUUUUCAUACACGCCAUUGUAAGGAUAAAUAAAUAAAAUUUAAAAUCAAAAUUUAUUUUAUUGCGGAAAAAUUUGUCCUUACAAUGCAAUUCAUUGAAAAACUAUGCUAAUACAUCUUUCUUAGCAAUCUAAUUCUAACUCUAAGUAGUAGCUCAAGAAUCUAAUCUUCGAGAAAUGCGAUCGAAAUCCAUUCCUUCACGGUUAGAUUCUGCUCACUUCUUCCCUUAAGCUUCCUUUCUUUUCUUCGAUCCUACAAAACAUCAAUUGUAAUCUUAUCACAUUAUGUAUUAAGAAUCUAGAAUAGAAGCUUAAAAGAGUUAGUCAAUGGAUUUUACCUAAAGCAAAGCCAUACGUUUUGACUCUCCCAUCUCUUAGAUCUCUUAGGUAAAUAGGGCAGCUUCGUCUCCAAUGCCCCUUCUCUUGGCAAUAAAAGCAAAUUGACUCUUUUGGAACAUGACAUGGAACUACUUCAGACAUUGCCUUUCUCUUAUGAUCAAACUUUUCGAUCAUAGCAUGUCUUUCGUUGCCAUUGUCUAUAUCCAUAGAGGUCUUGAAGGCAGAUUCACCAAUCAACUUUGCUUUUCUAUUGCGCCAAACCAUUGCUGAUUCAGCAGCAAUAAGCAUAUAGGUGAGAUCUAUAAGGGUCACGUCGCGGUUCAUCAUAUAGUACUCUCUUACGAACUCACUAUAUGAGUUAGGAAGUGACUGAAGAACCCAAUCAACAGCCAUUUCCUCACAGACAACGGAUCCCAACAUUCUUAACCUAUCAAUGUGUGACUUCAUCCCUAGGACGUGUGCACACACCGACUUUCCUUCUUUAUGUUUACUUGCCAAAAGGGCUUGAGUGAUCUUGAACUUUUCAAGCCUUUGAACUUGUGGGUUAGGGAGAAUAAUUGGAGGAGGUGGAGGAAGUGAAGCAUGAUUUCUUGUUCCUCGAUCGAAUCGUGGAAUAUCAUCUUCAUGUGGAAUGCUUGUUCCACGGGAUUUGGGAAGACCAUAGUUGUCGAACUUUGACAUCUACAAAACGGGAGAAAACGAAUUCAAGUUAGUUGAUUGAUUGAGUCCUUAGUAAAUCACCCAAAUGAGAUACUAAGGCUAGGACCCAACACAAUAUUCUACAACUCGGGAGAGGGAUGCCGUAACCCAAAUUGCAGAACAUUUGAAGGUAAGUGAAUGACGAUUCACUAAUUUCCACCAUGAAAAACGAAAAAGAAAUUUAAGUUUUAAAUCUAUGAAAACUCCUAGAUCCUUUGAGAUUCAUUGAACAUUUCAAUGGCAUGUUUAAAUCUCGAUAUGCCCCUCUUGUUUGUGACUGGGAUGCCGAGGAUCACAAAGCGGGUGUGAAUAACCAUGCAAACUUACAUGGUGCCCUCACAUGUUACAGUCACCUAUUCGAUGUGCCGGUAAACCACACACGCUCCACCGAACUAUGACAAACAUUGAGUCACCCUUUGCUACCUUUGCUUAGAACCAUUUAGUGUGCCGGUAAACCACACACGCUCCACUAACGUCUUCGCAAGGGCACAAAGUGUAAUUUCAUGGAAUUGCAUCAAUUCACUUUUGCCUAAGUAACUAAGAUUGGGAAUUUUAUGAAAACAUUUAGUUACUUUUAUACUUCAUUAUACUUAUAAUGGAAGGUUUCGUCCUAUCCUACCCGUUCGGCUAACGACCCUCCACUAGUCAAGAGUGCGGUGGGUAAGAGUGGAUACCCAUUCAAUCGCCAUUUUAUAGGCAAUUUCCUUAAACACCCCUUAUAGACCAGCUUCGUGAAUGAGGCCUACUAACGGUAAGACUGACUUUUACUCAUACAUAUAUAUAAUGUUAGACUUUUAAUGUUAUAUAUAGUAUAGGGUGUAUUUUACACUUUUAAAAUACUAGGUGGUCAAAUUUAACAAUUAUACUUUUAAUUCAAUUAAAUUGUAAACCUAAACUUUUAUGGAUUUAUUAAACCUCUUUUAAUUAUACACCUUAAUUAAUUAAUAAAACCAUAAGGGUGUGAUUUGAACUUUUUCAAAACUAUACUAGAGUUUUAGAAUUUAACAUUCCUAAUUAAACUUUUAAUCAACUUUUAAAUUCCAAAACUUGAGGGCAAGUUUUGAAACAUUUCAACACAUUAGGGUUUAGAAUUUAAAUAUACAUCAAAAUUAAACUAUUUAAUCAAAAUUUAAAUUCCAAAACUUGAGGGCAAGUUUUGAAACCUUUUUCAAAACAUUAGGGUUUCAACUAUUUAAAUUUCAAAACAACAAAACUUUUGGGUUCAAAUUUAAACUAUAAAACCUAAAGGGGAAAAUAUGAAACUUUUCAUAACAACAAGGAUCAAAUAACAAAUAAUCUAAAUUAACAAUUAAUCACAUAAUUAUCCAUAUUUGAUUUAUUUAAUGAUUUCUUGCAAAACAAUUUAUCAAUUUAGUCAAAAUAAUUAAUCAAUUAUCACAUAAGGAAACAAUUAUCUUAUUAAUUGAUAAAUAUCUUCAAUUAGAUCAAAAAUAUAGUCAAAUAUAUCAUAUAAUCGGAUUAAUAUUGAUCUAACAUGAUAAGGUAACUAUCCAAAUGCAAAAACAGCAAGAAAUCCCGAAAUACCCUCCAUCUGACGAGUUGACUCGGCGAGUCUGCAUGGACUCGGCGAGUUUAGACAUGGACUCGGCGAGUCCAGCCUCCAGAAACCCAAAAAACGAAUUUUCCAGUUAUACAGUGCAUCAAUACAAUUGAAACCAAGCUAGGCUCUGAUACCACUGAUGGGUUUUGGUCAUAAGACAUCCUAUGUGCUCAUACAAACCCUAAUGCUUGGAUCUAGGUUUCUCUAUUGUACAUGCUUUGAAUCCAAGACUAUAAACCCUAAUUCUAGCAUAUGGAAAUCAAUAUUAACAUAUAAUUAGGUUUAAGAUAUUACCUUGAUUGUUAUGUAGCAAUAACAAUCCCAAUUCCUCCUUGAAUUGACUUUGGAAGGCUUAGAGUCACAAGUGUCACUCCUCUAAUGGCUUACAAACACCAUAAGCAAGAGGAUGAAGAGGAGAGAGGAUGGAGGCUGCCCAAAACGUGUUCUAACCCUAGAAAAGAAGUUCCCCACGUUUUUGAGCCUUAAGGGUUCUAUAUAUAGUGAGGCUAUUAGGGUUAUCUAACAAGGAAACCCUAAUUUGGUUGCUUAAGCCCUAAGCAACCCAUAGACUCCUUUAAUCAAGCCCUUGGACGAUUUCCUUAUGGGCUUCCCAUAAGAAUUCGUCCACCUCUUGAUUUAAGACAAUCCAUGGCCCAAAUUGCAAUUAUCUUAUAAUUACAAUUCCAGUCCCUUAAGUUUAAUUAAUCUCUUUUAGUCACAAAACUAAUUACCAAUUAAUUAUUGACUAAUAUUAAUUAAACAAUAUGAUUUCUCCUUUAAUAUAUUAUUCUCAUAAUAUAUUAAUAAAUCAUAUUUAAUCCUUUCUCUCCAUAAUUCAUCCUAUCAAGUUGCUUUGGUGAAGGCAACCCAAAAGGACCAUGCACCAUCGGGUCAAGUACAUACCAAAAUAGUUAUGGACUUAGACACUAAUCCAACAGUCUCCCACUUGGAUAAGUCUAAUAACUAUUCUGCGUAUGACUUCAGAUCCUGAUCUGCAAUCGUAGCUUUCCAAAGCCGCUGUCAACUCUGAUCCUAUCAGAUACGCGUGUCCUUAGAUAAGGGAUCAUAUAUUCCUCCAUUCUAGAUAUCAUAUGAGAUAUGAUUUCAAAUCAUUCUCUUUGUACUAUAUCUCGAUUCCCGAUUUAUGACGACUGACUAAUUGAACAAAUCAAAUUAGCCCUAGCCCGGCCGAGCAUUUACGUUUGUCAUCACUAAAUCAUCGAGGGGCCCAAAGAUAUCGCUUUUAUCCUACUUUGGAUAAAAGGAACGGAUAAACUUUGAUACAAUGCUUGCUUGCACUCACUCACCGAAUCACACACAACAAUAUGUUUUAUAACACCAAGUUACUAGUGCGUUUACAUAUUAUCAAUGUGCAACCGAUUUGCAAGAUACAACUCACACAUCUCGGUUUCAAGAAUAUAAGAUGUUAUCGUCUCACCAAUCACUCGUGAUACAAUUCAUGGAGUGAUCCAAGUGAGCGUGGGUUUAAUCCAAUGCUCAAAUCAUAUUCAUAAGCACUCAUGAACGUUGCAGCAAACAUUUGCUUAUGUCUAAUACUCUUUAGACAAUCCACACACCAAUUCACGACAGUCUUCAUUCAUACCUACUUCCAACAUAUGAACGACUGUGGCCCGUUCGAAUAAUUUGACUGUUCUUAACCAAUUAAAUUAUUCAGGAAGUCAAAACAUGCAAAUUGAAACACAAGAAUAAUACUAAUCCCAUAUGGCCUCAAACCUUUGAGUAUAAAUAAAACACCUUUUAUUUAUCACCAUAUCGAUUACUCAUUAUUUGUCGUUUCGGGUAAUCAACUUCUUACUUGAAUUAUUACACUUGUCCCAUGCUCCU
Molecule: long non-coding RNA, 7256 nt
Filed under: Lactuca sativa (garden lettuce)
Lineage: Eukaryota; Viridiplantae; Streptophyta; Magnoliopsida; Asterales; Asteraceae
Description: long non-coding RNA (LSAT_LNC002892)
Source: RNAcentral